Molecule: ribosomal RNA, 620 nt
Filed under: uncultured Bacteroidota bacterium
Lineage: Bacteria; Pseudomonadati; Bacteroidota
Description: bacterial SSU rRNA
Rfam family: Bacterial small subunit ribosomal RNA
Source: RNAcentral
UCAUCGGUGAUGGAUGGGGAUGCGUCUGAUUAGCUUGUUGGCGGGGUAACGGCCCACCAAGGCUACGAUCAGUAGGGGUUCUGAGAGGAAGGUCCCCCACAUUGGAACUGAGACACGGUCCAAACUCCUACGGGAGGCAGCAGUGAGGAAUAUUGGUCAAUGGGUGAGAGCCUGAACCAGCCAAGUAGCGUGCAGGAUGACGGCCCUAUGGGUUGUAAACCGCUUUUAUAAGGGAAUAAAGUGAGCCUCGUGAGGCUUUUUGCAUGUACCUUAUGAAUAAGGACUGGCUAAUUCCGUGCCAGCAGCCGCGGUAAUACGGAAGGUUCGGGCGUUAUCCGGAUUUAUUGGGUUUAAAGGGAGCGUAGGCCGGAGAUUAAGCGUGUUGUGAAAAGUAGGUGCUCAACAUCUGCACUGCAGCGGGAACUGGUUUCCUUGAGUACGCACAAAGUGGGCGGAAUUCGUGGUGUAGCGGUGAAAUGCUUAGAUAUCACGAAGAACUCCGAUUGCGAAGGCAGCUUACUGGAGCGCAACUGACGCUGAAGCUCGAAAGUGCGGGUAUCGAACAGGAUUAGAUACCCUGGUAGUCCGCACGGUAAACGAUGGAUGCCCGCUGUUGGUCU